RNAcentral lists this ribosomal RNA (497 nucleotides) under uncultured bacterium. RNAcentral describes it as "partial 16S ribosomal RNA". It matches the Rfam family "Bacterial small subunit ribosomal RNA", at positions 28 to 507 of the family's 1533-position model. The record is from RNAcentral.
GAUGAACGCUGGCGGCGUGCCUAAUACAUGCAAGUCGAGCGAACAGAUGAGGAGCUUGCUCCUCUGACGUUAGCGGCGGACGGGUGAGUAACACGUGGAUAACCUACCUAUAAGACUGGGAUAACUUCGGGAAACCGGAGCUAAUACCGGAUAAUAUAUUGAACCGCAUGGUUCAAUAGUGAAAGACGGUUUUGCUGUCACUUAUAGAUGGAUCCGCGCCGCAUUAGCUAGUUGGUAAGGUAACGGCUUACCAAGGCAACGAUGCGUAGCCGACCUGAGAGGGUGAGCGACAAGACUGGAACAGAGACACGGUGCAGACUCCUACGGGAGGCAGCCGUAGGGAAGCUUCCGCAAUGGGCGAAAGCCUGACGGAGCAACGCAGCGUGAAUGAUGAAGGUCUUCGGAUCGUAAAACUCUGUUAUUAGCGAAGAACAAAUGUGUAAGUAACUAUGCACGUCUUGACGGUACCUAAUCAGAAAGCCACGGCUAACUACGUG